UUAAUAUUGUAUAAAUUUAUUCAUCACUUUUUAGGAUUCUGGAUAGGAUCACAGUGGAAUCAGAGUCUGUCCCUGAAACACCAGCUUGUUCAUAAGAAGAGGAGGCAUCUCGCAUCUGUACCUUUCCCCUGAACAUUAAAAGUUGACUAAGAUUAAGCCAUAACAGGGGAUUCCCAGGCCUGUAAGGGUCACCGGGGCCCUGCAGCAUACCACAGUGAUCUCAUGGCUCCCACAAGGCAGGGGACACCCUGGAUGAAGUGCCACCUAAUCUCACUACUGGCAAACCACACAAACAUCAAUCAGCAUACAGCACACAUUUUGGAAUGUGGAAGGAAACCAGAUUACCUGGAGGAAACCCAAAGAAGGUUUGGAGAACUUGUGAGCUCUUUGAGGAGCCUCUCAACUCCAUGUGAACAGCCACCCAAGUAGACAAAACAGCUGUAAGUGCUGUGUUAACAAGGAUCAGCGGAUUUCACUGGGGCAAAACAGACAAAUCUCCUGGCUGACCUGCUCUCGCUGAGUGAUGAGAGACAGAUUGGCCUUACCACAGGUUGAGAGAGUCCUGCCAGUGAAUGAGUUAUCAGCACAGGUGUGGAGCACAAAGCCUCUUUCCAGCUCUCAGCUGGAUGACUGGCAACUUUGAUGGUCAUUUUGUGGUUAGAUAAAGUAAGUCAAGGAAAACUACUCACAU
Molecule: long non-coding RNA, 691 nt
Organism: Clarias gariepinus (North African catfish)
Lineage: Eukaryota; Metazoa; Chordata; Actinopteri; Siluriformes; Clariidae
Exons: 4
Source: RefSeq, a predicted model, not a curated record